RNAcentral lists this ribosomal RNA (548 nucleotides) under Boophis sp. ZSM 685_2000. RNAcentral describes it as "partial 16S ribosomal RNA". It matches the Rfam family "Bacterial large subunit ribosomal RNA", at positions 1837 to 2597 of the family's 2925-position model. Lineage: Eukaryota; Metazoa; Chordata; Amphibia; Anura; Mantellidae. The record is from RNAcentral.
GCUUAACUAUAAGAGGUCCAGCCUGCCCGGUGACAUAGUUUAACGGCCGCGGUACCCUAACCGUGCGAAGGUAGCAUAAUCACUUGUUCUUUAAAUGGGGACUCGUAUCAACGGCAUCACGAGGAUCAUACUGUCUCCCCCCCCUAAUCAGUGAAACUGAUCUCCCCGUGAAGAAGCGGGGAUUUCCCUAUAAGACGAGAAGACCCCAUGGAGCUUUAAACCCGAUGACACCCUCACUAUACGCAUACCCGCAUAUCCCUUGGGGUGCUGUUCACUCGGUUUUAGGUUGGGGUGACCGCGGAGCAAAACAAAACCUCCACGAAGAAUGGGCUUACCCCCUUAUCCAAGAGAGACAUCUCUAAGAAUUAGUAGACUAACAUCUAAUGAUCCGAUAUUUCGAUCAACGAACCAAGUUACCCUGGGGAUAACAGCGCAAUCCACUUCAAGAGCCCAUAUCGACAAGUGGGUUUACGACCUCGAUGUUGGAUCAGGGUAUCCCAGUGGUGCAGCAGCUACUAACGGUUCGUUUGUUCAACGAUUAAAACCCU